UAUUAAAAAUUUCAUCCAUUUGCAUUGUUAAAAACUGGCAUGGUUGACAGAAUAAUCAAAUAAUAACACAUGACGUGCUACCUAUACUUUAUGCUGACAUACAAAGAUUAAUUUUUAAUAGUAAAAAUGAAAAAAAAUUAAAUA
RNAcentral lists this microRNA precursor (144 nucleotides) under Gossypium hirsutum (cotton). RNAcentral's name for it is "MIR7502 microRNA precursor family". It matches the Rfam family "MIR7502 microRNA precursor family". Lineage: Eukaryota; Viridiplantae; Streptophyta; Magnoliopsida; Malvales; Malvaceae. The record is from Rfam by way of RNAcentral.